This 429-nucleotide ribosomal RNA is filed under the name uncultured archaeon. RNAcentral describes it as "bacterial SSU rRNA". It matches the Rfam family "Archaeal small subunit ribosomal RNA", at positions 474 to 903 of the family's 1478-position model. The record is from RNAcentral.
UACCAGCUCUCCGAGUGGUAGGGAUGAUUAUUGGGCUUAAAGCGUCCGUAGCCGGCUUAGCAAGUCUCCUGUUAAAUUCAGCGACCUAAUCGUUGAGCCGCGGGAGAUACUACUAGGCUAGGAGGCGGGGGAGGUCAACGGUACUUCCGGGGUAGGGGUGAAAUCCUAUAAUCCCGGGAGGACCACCAGUGGCGAAGGCUGUUGACUAGAACGCGCUCGACGGUGAGGGACGAAAGCUGGGGGAGCGAACCGGAUUAGAUACCCGGGUAGUCCCAGCUGUAAACGAUGCGAGCUAGGUGUUGGGGUGGCUACGUGCCACUUCAGUGCCGCAGGGAAGCCAUUAAGCUCGCCGCCUGGGGAGUACGGCCGCAAGGCUGAAACUUAAAGGAAUUGGCGGGGGAGCACCACAAGGCGUGAAGCUUGCGGUUC